CGGGGCGUAGCGCAGUCUGGUAGCGCGCCUGCCUUGGGAGCAGGAGGCCGUCGGUUCAAAUCCGGCCGCCCCGAC
This 75-nucleotide transfer RNA is filed under the name Urbifossiella limnaea. RNAcentral's name for it is "Planctomycetes bacterium ETA_A1 tRNA-Pro". It matches the Rfam family "tRNA". Rfam says of the family: Transfer RNA (tRNA) molecules are approximately 80 nucleotides in length. Their secondary structure includes four short double-helical elements and three loops (D, anti-codon, and T loops). Lineage: Bacteria; Pseudomonadati; Planctomycetota; Planctomycetia; Gemmatales; Gemmataceae. The record is from RNAcentral.